AGUCGAGCGGGGAAGGUAGCUUGCUACUUAACCUAGCGGCGGACGGGUGAGUAAUGCUUAGGAAUCUGCCUAUUAGUGGGGGACAACAUCUCGAAAGGGAUGCUAAUACCGCAUACGUCCUACGGGAGAAAGCAGGGGACCUUCGGGCCUUGCGCUAAUAGAUGAGCCUAAGUCGGAUUAGCUAGUUGGUGGGGUAAAGGCCUACCAAGGCGACGAUCUGUAGCGGGUCUGAGAGGAUGAUCCGCCACACUGGGACUGAGACACGGCCCAGACUCCUACGGGAGGCAGCAGUGGGGAUAUUGGACAAUGGGGGGAACCCUGAUCCAGCCAUGCCGCGUGUGUGAAGAAGGCCUUUUGGUUGUAAAGCACUUUAAGCGAGGAGGAGGCUACCGAGAUUAAUACUCUUGGAUAGUGGACGUUACUCGCAGAAUAAGCACCGGCUAACUCUGUGCCAGCAGCCGCGGUAAUACAGAGGGUGCAAGCGUUAAUCGGAUUUACUGGGCGUAAAGCGCGCGUAGGUGGCCAAUUAAGUCAAAUGUGAAAUCCCCGAGCUUAACUUGGGAAUUGCAUUCGAUACUGGUUGGCUAGAGUAUGGGAGAGGAUGGUAGAAUUCCGGGUGUAGCGGUGAAAUGCGUAGAGAUCUGGAGGAAUACCGAUGGCGAAAGCAGCCAUCUGGCCUAAUACUGACACUGAGGUGCGAAAGCAUGGGGAGCAAAC
Molecule: ribosomal RNA, 717 nt
Filed under: uncultured bacterium
Lineage: Bacteria
Description: bacterial SSU rRNA
Rfam family: Bacterial small subunit ribosomal RNA
Source: RNAcentral